Long non-coding RNA from Topomyia yanbarensis, 1034 nucleotides. RefSeq lists it as uncharacterized. The record is from RefSeq and is a predicted model, not a curated record. Lineage: Eukaryota; Metazoa; Arthropoda; Insecta; Diptera; Culicidae. The transcript has 3 exons.
CGAGACAUCAGUAUAAAACAUUACUUAUUACUCGACUGUGCGGGGAUUUGGCUGGGUUCAACUAAGUGUGUAUGUAUAUGCAAGUCCUUGCAGGGAUGCAUGAAGCAUAGCACGAGAGCCUAACACGAACUGAGCGGCCGCUUUGAAGGAACUAAAAUCAAUAAGCACUGAUACCGCUCGUGCUAGGUAACCUUCGUGCUCGAGCUGUACGAUUCGAAGAGCUAGCACAACGAGUUAGCACGAUAAGCUAGCACCAUGAGCCAGCUCGGUAAGCUGGCACGAGCAAGAUCGGUGAGCUAGCUCACCGAUCAAGGUACCUCAGUUCGAGACUUACUAAAGAUGGUUGAAUGAUUUGGCUUAAAUUUGAAAAAUAAAUCUCAAGGUGGCACGGAUGGUUGCCUGAUGCUGAUCAUUUCUAGAUCAUCCUAGUCGACAGCAGUGUAUAUCUGUUCAAUUAUAGGGGCCCCUCAGCUUAGUUGUGCCCAGGGCCCCGAGCGGUCUUAAGACGGCUCUGCUCUUAAACUAUAUCAGUACUAUGCAAAUUUGGAUCAAAAUAGUCUCACCAAAUGAUUAGAACUCAACUGUGUUCACUCAAUUUACCAACAUCGAAGUAACAACGAUUACACCAAAUGUCUCCAAACCAACAACCAACACUACCAACAAAAAAUCAAAAACCGAUGAAGAAUGACUUACAACAGCAAUCCGUAACUACAAAAAACAAACAAGAACAUCCGACCUUGAGCAUCAUGAAAACAGUACCGAUGACGACAUGGACGUGAACGAAAACGCGCGAGAAGACGGGCCAAAUGAUCCCCAACGCACCUAAUGUUUCACCACCUAGGAAGAGGAUCUCAACACGCAACAGCAAGCUGCGCCAACAACACCCGAUGGACAGGCAUAGUAAAAAUAACUUUUAUUUUAACACAUUGUAAAAAUAAAAAAGGCUCACGGCUCAGUUAUGCUAACGGAUGGAGUCGUGACAAAUAAUCAAACAAAAAAUUAUUAAAAAACAGUUGAGAUGACUUUAAACUCAA